GUUAGAGAAGCUGACACAAAGGAGAACCCGUCACGAAAGCCUCUCAUUAAGAUGUGUCAUUCACUUGCUUGUUUCAAUCUGGACAGAGCAUUGUAAUGCUUAUGUCAAGAAUCUCCUAUCUCAAGUUUGUGUAGACAGCGCUUACCAUUUAUGCUUUGCCUUGUCAAUAAAAGUCAAUCACCCAAUGGCAGGGCAGAAGAGAGAACAGAGCUGAACUUCCACCAGCCAGGGGAGAAGGAGAGAGAGAAGAAUAAGGCAGAUUCCACCAUGAGGAGUCUACACUAAAAGCCCCCACAUGGCACGGCCCCUGCGGAACGCUCUGUCGUAAGGUGAUUGUCCCAUGCCUGACAGUUCGACCACCACUGCUCUGCACACUUUGUUUCCUCCUGUGGGGACCACUGGCAGGCAGCGCCUUCACGUCCAUGGCUGAAGUCCAGUAUGGCUGACGGAUUUCGAAAGGAGAGGACGGACGUGUGCUUUUCUCUCCCACCUGACUGUCCUUAUUUUGGAAUUUGAAGUGGAUAAUGGAGGAGAUGGUAAUCCACACUGUACUUCAACAAGACUUAGAUACAGUUAUGGUUACCAUGUAUAUAGUCUGUUGGCUCGUCUUUCUAGCACGGCUGCAAACUCCCUUAGAAGACAACUGAUCUCAUUCUUCCUGCUUCCCAGAGGUGAGCCCAGCCCUUAGGACCAAGGAAUGGCUCUGUAAAUGCCGGUGGAUUAAAGGUGACAUUGUAAACAAUGA
Rattus norvegicus (Norway rat) is the source of this 745-nucleotide non-coding RNA. The record is from RefSeq and is a predicted model, not a curated record. Lineage: Eukaryota; Metazoa; Chordata; Mammalia; Rodentia; Muridae.